AGCGCCAGGGAAUUACGAGCCAUGCUUAAAACCCAAAGGAUUUGACGGUAUCCCAUCCACCUAGAGGAGCCUGUUCUAUAAUCGAUAACCCCCGCUAUACCCAACCACUCCUAGCUUAUCAGCCUGUAUACCUCCGUCGAAAGCCUACCAUGUGAAUGUUAUUAGUAAGCUUAAUGUCCCCGUCAAAACGUCAGGUCAAGGUGCAGCUCAUGGGGUGGGAAGAAAUGGGCUACAAUUUCUAACCUAGAACACACGAAAAACUAGGUGAAACCCUAGUAAUGAAGGCGGAUUUAGUAGUAAAAAGAAAAUAGAGUGUUCUUUUUAAUCUGGCCCUGGGAUGUGUACACACCGCCCGUCACCCUCUUCGACUGUAUUUAACACUGUUUUAUAACUUCCCCCCACAUUCUAGAAGAGGCAAGUCGUAACAUGGUAAGUGUACUGGAAAGUGCACUUGGCUAACAA
Molecule: ribosomal RNA, 462 nt
Filed under: Sanguirana luzonensis (Luzon frog)
Lineage: Eukaryota; Metazoa; Chordata; Amphibia; Anura; Ranidae
Description: partial 12S ribosomal RNA
Rfam family: Bacterial small subunit ribosomal RNA
Source: RNAcentral